GUUCUGCAGUGGAGAUCCUAAUCCCUCUCAGCCGUGCAUACCUUUGUUCAUCAUUUUGAGAUGCUCUGGCUUUUGUAAUGCACAGUCUAUUCGUUUCUUGGUAUGCUUCCCUUUCUGCCGCUGUCUUUCUUUCCCUGGACAAAUAUAUACUUUUGGCUGACCUUGACAUUGUAGACAAAUUUGACACUUUCCUUAUACGCAUGGUUAUAUACGUAUACAGAAAUACACGGGUGAAGAAUAUAUUAAUCUUCUUUGAAGACAACGGCACCGUCCUAUACUAUCCGAAUCGGCGGUAAUUACCUAAUUCACUCACUAGACGACGAACACGCGCACAUUUACCCCACCACACAUAUAUGUAUAUUGCAUAUAUUUAUGUAAUAUAGACAUAAAUAUAUAUAUGUAUACAUACCAUCCGCAGACUCUAAGACAUACAUAAGCAUGUACACGCAAAAUUACACAGACACACACUCUCACAUACAUAUUUCAUUUUCUUUGUUUUAAUGCGAUUUUAAUCAUAUUGUUUCAAGACAUUUUCCUACACAAGAGACAACAAUAGAUAUCUUAAUCAUUUAUGCCUUUUCAGAUAUAUGCGAAACUAACACGUGGUUGGUAAUAUCGUUCAAACUCAAUUGGAACUAUAACAAGUGUACAUGUAGUUCAUAUUGGAUUUCAUUUCAAAUAAUUGCUUAUAAACAUAGAAGUAGCUGAAGUGUUUGUGGGAUGACGUCAGUAGCUGGGGAGCUGACCGGAACUCGGAUGAGUAAGGGCGCGUAGGUGACGCGCGCUCAGGCACGAGUGAGGGACAGCAGCUGCUAUUUUUAGCAGUUCGAGUCGGGCCACGUGGAAGGGUACGUUACCACUGGAGAGGUCUGCGUCGACGAAGAGAAGCCAGACAUUACAAACACGCAUUAGAAGGUAAAGCUCUAGCUUAUCAGUAGGCAGGUAUUGACAGUUCCUAUUACAAGCCGGCAUAAUCAAAGAAAUACAUGGGUGGUUAACUGCAAUGAAUCACUUUGUAACUAACCAGACAGAAAGCACUAAAAGACAACGGUUAAUUUCAGCACGGAGGAAUACUUAAAACAAGGAAUAUAUGUGUGUAUCUCUA
Long non-coding RNA from Octopus bimaculoides (California two-spot octopus), 1105 nucleotides. NCBI's taxonomy places the organism in Eukaryota, Metazoa, Mollusca, Cephalopoda, Octopoda, Octopodidae. The record is from RefSeq and is a predicted model, not a curated record.